GCGCGUUCUCAGGGCGGGGUGAAAGUCCCCACCGGCGGUAAAGGCAAGGCCGUGAGGCCAGGUACGAGCCCGCGGGCGCUCCUUGGACCCCAUGUCCGGGGAGGCAGCAGACACCGGUUGGAUUCCGGGGCCGACGGUUAGAGUCCGGUUAUGAGAACCACU
Molecule: non-coding RNA, 162 nt
Filed under: Phenylobacterium zucineum
Lineage: Bacteria; Pseudomonadati; Pseudomonadota; Alphaproteobacteria; Caulobacterales; Caulobacteraceae
Description: FMN sequence
Rfam family: FMN riboswitch aptamer (RFN element)
About the family: The RFN element is a highly conserved domain that is found frequently in the 5'-untranslated regions of prokaryotic mRNAs that encode for flavin mononucleotide (FMN) biosynthesis and transport proteins.
Source: RNAcentral